GCCGCGGUAGCUCAGGUAGUCAGAGCACUUCUCUGAAAAAGAAGGGGUGGCCAGUGCAAGUCUGGCCCGCGGCACAA
RNAcentral lists this transfer RNA (77 nucleotides) under bacterium. RNAcentral's name for it is "tRNA-Phe". It matches the Rfam family "tRNA". From Rfam's summary of the family: Transfer RNA (tRNA) molecules are approximately 80 nucleotides in length. Their secondary structure includes four short double-helical elements and three loops (D, anti-codon, and T loops). The record is from RNAcentral.